RNAcentral lists this ribosomal RNA (497 nucleotides) under uncultured bacterium. RNAcentral describes it as "partial 16S ribosomal RNA". It matches the Rfam family "Bacterial small subunit ribosomal RNA", at positions 28 to 507 of the family's 1533-position model. The record is from RNAcentral.
GAUGAACGCUGGCGGCGUGCCUAAUACAUGCAAGUCGAGCGAACAGACGAGGAGCUUGCUCCUCUGACGUUAGCGGCGGACGGGUGAGUAACACGUGGAUAACCUACCUAUAAGACUGGGAUAACUUCGGGAAACCGGAGCUAAUACCGGAUAAUAUAUUGAACCGCAUGGUUCAAGAGUGAAAGACGGUUUUGCUGUCACUUAUAGAUGGAUCCGCGCCGCAUUAGCUAGUUGGUAAGGUAACGGCUUACCAAGGCAACGAUGCGUAGCCGACCUGAGAGGGUGAUCGGCCACACUGGAACUGAGACACGGUCCAGACUCCUACGGGAGGCAGCAGUAGGGAAUCUUCCGCAAUGGGCGAAAGCUUGACGGAGCAACGCCGCGUGAGUGAUGAAGGUCUUCGGAUCGUAAAACUCUGUUAUUAGGGAAGAAAAAAUGUGUAAGUAACUAUGCACGUCUUGACGGUACCUAAUCAGAAAGCCACGGCUAACUACGUG